Long non-coding RNA from Arachis stenosperma, 296 nucleotides. RefSeq lists it as uncharacterized. The transcript is spliced from 3 exons. NCBI's taxonomy places the organism in Eukaryota, Viridiplantae, Streptophyta, Magnoliopsida, Fabales, Fabaceae. The record is from RefSeq and is a predicted model, not a curated record.
GUCAGUAUACAUAGCAUGAUUCUCAACUAAAUAAAAACUCGCCGAUAUCGGAACAAAUAUACAUUGUGCCGCUGGAUAUUGUGAAUUUUAUGUUGGGAACACAUGGCAUAGAGUACAUUGAUAAAACGACAAACAAAGCAUACCGGUUUGAUAUUGAGCAGUAUGCCCACCACCGCCAGUUUCUUAACAAAAGAAAACUUGCUUCGUAUCCAUUUCUAUUUGUGCCAAUUUGCAAUGGAGCUCAUUGGUGGUUGUAGAUUGCUGAUGUCAAGAAAAAGAAAUUCUAUGUGCUUGAC